AGGACGAACGCUGGCGGCGUGCUUAACACAUGCAAGUCAAGGGGGCCCAGCAAUGGACAACCGGCGAACGGGUGCGUAACACGUGAGCAACCUACCGAACUGUGGGGGAUAGCCGGCCUAACGGCCGAGUAAUACCGCAUACGCUCUCAGGGAGGCAUUUCUUUGAGAGGAAACCUACGGGACAGAUCGAGGGGCUCGCGGCCUAUCAGCUAGUUGGCGAGGUAACGGCUCACCAAGGCAACGACGGGUAGC
This 252-nucleotide ribosomal RNA is filed under the name uncultured soil bacterium. RNAcentral's name for it is "partial 16S ribosomal RNA". It matches the Rfam family "Bacterial small subunit ribosomal RNA", at positions 26 to 287 of the family's 1533-position model. The record is from RNAcentral.